RNAcentral lists this small RNA (125 nucleotides) under Marmota monax (woodchuck). The record is from RNAcentral. Lineage: Eukaryota; Metazoa; Chordata; Mammalia; Rodentia; Sciuridae.
GCCAGGCACAGUGACGCAGGCCUGUAAUCCCAGCAGCUCAGGAGGCUGAGGCAGGAAAAUCACAAGUUCAAAGCCUGCCUCAGCAAAAUCGAGGUGCUAAGCAACUCAGUGAGACCCUGUCUCUA